ACGGAACAUCUACCCAAGCCUGCAAACGUGCAGUAGCUGUACUACUUAUCCUAUAAAGAGCGUGUGAAUUGUCAGGGCCUGAAGCUGAUGGGAUGUCCUUUUUGAGAGGUACUGUUUUCCUAGAGGGAACCUUGUAACUACCCUAAGGACUCAAACUCUGGACGGACUGACAAAAGUAAGCUUCUGCAGAGCUUGUCUGAACACAAACUUCAAAGUGGAUCAGAAGAAUACAAGAGAGAUCUCAACUUUCUGUUGCUUCCACUUAAUUGGAUUAGUCAUCUACCUCCAAAGGCCCCCAGGACCUGGGAACUGGAUGGCUUUGAGAUGCUGCCCUUUGCUUCCUGCUGUUCCUCUGGAGGCAGCAGUUAUCUGUGAAU
This is a long non-coding RNA of Tyto alba (common barn owl), 377 nucleotides long. RefSeq lists it as uncharacterized. The transcript has 5 exons. The record is from RefSeq and is a predicted model, not a curated record. Lineage: Eukaryota; Metazoa; Chordata; Aves; Strigiformes; Tytonidae.